AGAGGGUUAAUCCAACUAAGACCUCUGAUUUCGACUCAGAGAAUCGUGGUUUAACUCCACGGCCCCCUU
This 69-nucleotide transfer RNA is filed under the name Troglonectes acridorsalis. RNAcentral describes it as "tRNA-Arg". Lineage: Eukaryota; Metazoa; Chordata; Actinopteri; Cypriniformes; Nemacheilidae. The record is from RNAcentral.